Trichonephila inaurata madagascariensis is the source of this 75-nucleotide non-coding RNA. Lineage: Eukaryota; Metazoa; Arthropoda; Arachnida; Araneae; Nephilidae. The record is from the annotation of a GenBank genome assembly.
GCCCGGCGCUAGCUCAGUCGGUAGAGCACAGACUCUUAAUCUCGAGGUCGUGGGUUUCGAAACCCACGAUGGGCG